Molecule: transfer RNA, 88 nt
Filed under: Planctomycetota bacterium
Lineage: Bacteria; Pseudomonadati; Planctomycetota
Also listed under: 2 other names
Description: Planctomycetes bacterium tRNA-Ser
Rfam family: tRNA
About the family: Transfer RNA (tRNA) molecules are approximately 80 nucleotides in length. Their secondary structure includes four short double-helical elements and three loops (D, anti-codon, and T loops).
Source: RNAcentral
GGAGAGGUGUCCGAGUGGCUUAAGGAGCGGCCUUGGAAAGGCCGUGUAGGGCUUGUCCUUACCGCGGGUUCGAAUCCCGCCCUCUCCG